GGCCUUUAUCCUAGCCGACUUGAAAGGUUAUCGGCCCCAAUGGGACUGAGACCCGGCCCAAAUUCCUACGGGAGGCAGCAGUAGGGAAUCUUCCACAAUGGACGCAAGUCUGAUGGAGCAACCCCGCGUGAGUGAAGAAGGGUUUCGGCUCGUAAAGCUCUGUUGUUAAAGAAGAACGUGGAUGAGAGUAACUGUUCAUCCGUUGACGGUAUUUAACCAGAAAGUCACGGCUAACUACGUGCCAGCAGCCGCGGUAAUACGUAGGUGGCAAGCGUUAUCCGGAUUUAUUGGGCGUAAAGAGAGUGCAGGCGGUUUUCUAAGUCUGAUGUGAAAGCCUUCGGCUCAACCGGAGAAGUGCAUCGGAAACUGGAUGACUUGAGUGCAGAAGAGGGCAGUGGAACUCCAUGUGUAGCGGUGGAAUGCGUAGAUAUAUGGAAGAACACCAGUGGCGAAGGCGGCUGUCUGGUCUGCAACUGACGCUGAGACUCGAAAGCAUGGGUAGCGAACAGGAUUAGAUACCCUGGUAGUCCAUGCCGUAAACGAUGAGUGCUAAGUGUUGGAGGGUUUCCGCCCUUCAGUGCUGCAGCUAACGCAUUAAGCACUCCGCCUGGGGAGUACGACCGCAAGGUUGAAACUCAAAGGAAUUGACGGGGGCCCGCACAAGCGGUGGAGCAUGUGGUUUAAUUCGAAGCUACGCGAAGAACCUUACCAGGUCUUGACAUCUUGCGCCAGUCUUAGAGAUAAGACGUUUCCUUCGGGAACACAAUGACAGGUGGUGCAUGGUCGUCGUCAGCUCGUGUCGUGAGAUGUUGGGUUAAGUCCCGCAACGAGCGCAACCCUUGUUACUAGUUGCCAGCAUUAAGUUGGGCACUCUAGUGAGACUGCCGGUGACAAACCGGAGGAAGGUGGGGACGACGUCAGAUCAUCAUGCCCCUUAUGACCUGGGCUACACACGUGCUACAAUGGACGGUACAACGAGUCGCGAACUCGCGAGGGCAAGCUAAUCUCUUAAAACCGUUCUCAGUUCGGACUGCAGGCUGCAACUCGCCUGCACGAAGUCGGAAUCGCUAGUAAUCGCGGAUCAGCAUGCCGCGGUGAAUACGUUCCCGGGCCUUGUACACACCGCCCGUCACACCAUGAGAGUUUGUAACACCCAAAGUGCGGUGGGGUAACCUAUGUCGUGCCAACCUUGCCCGAAGAGUUUAUCGCC
This 1210-nucleotide ribosomal RNA is filed under the name Limosilactobacillus fermentum. Its description in RNAcentral is "bacterial SSU rRNA". It matches the Rfam family "Bacterial small subunit ribosomal RNA", at positions 272 to 1472 of the family's 1533-position model. The record is from RNAcentral. Lineage: Bacteria; Bacillati; Bacillota; Bacilli; Lactobacillales; Lactobacillaceae.